This 244-nucleotide ribosomal RNA is filed under the name uncultured bacterium. RNAcentral describes it as "partial small subunit ribosomal RNA". It matches the Rfam family "Bacterial small subunit ribosomal RNA", at positions 26 to 285 of the family's 1533-position model. The record is from RNAcentral.
AGAAUCAACGCUGGCGGCGUGCCUAACACAUGCAAGUCGAACGGGAAAGUGGAGCAAUCCAUGAGUAAAGUGGCGACCGGGUGAGUAACACGUGACUAACCUACCUUCGAGUGGGGGAUAACCUCGGGAAACCGAGGCUAAUACCGCAUAACAUCGCAAGAUCAAAGCAGCAAUGCGCUGGAAGAGGGGGUCGCGGCUGAUUAGCUAGUUGGCGGGUAACGGCCCACCAAGGCGAAGAUCGGUA